GUGAACGCUGGCGGUAGGCCUAACACAUGCAAGUCGAACGGCAGCACAGUAAGAGCUUGCUCUUACGGGUGGCGAGUGGCGGACGGGUGAGGAAUACAUCGGAAUCUACUUUUUCGUGGGGGAUAACGUAGGGAAACUUACGCUAAUACCGCAUACGACCUACGGGUGAAAGCAGGGGAUCUUCGGACCUUGCGCGAUUGAAUGAGCCGAUGUCGGAUUAGCUAGUUGGCGGGGUAAAGGCCCACCAAGGCGACGAUCCGUAGCUGGUCUGAGAGGAUGAUCAGCCACACUGGAACUGAGACACGGUCCAGACUCCUACGGGAGGCAGCAGUGGGGAAUAUUGGACAAUGGGCGCAAGCCUGAUCCAGCCAUACCGCGUGGGUGAAGAAGGCCUUCGGGUUGUAAAGCCCUUUUGUCGGGAAAGAAAAGCAGCAGGUUAAUACCCCGCUGUUCGGACGGUACCCAAAGAAUAAGCACCGGCUAACUUCGU
RNAcentral lists this ribosomal RNA (490 nucleotides) under uncultured bacterium. RNAcentral describes it as "partial 16S ribosomal RNA". It matches the Rfam family "Bacterial small subunit ribosomal RNA", at positions 29 to 506 of the family's 1533-position model. The record is from RNAcentral.